Non-coding RNA from Cordylochernes scorpioides, 78 nucleotides. The record is from the annotation of a GenBank genome assembly. NCBI's taxonomy places the organism in Eukaryota, Metazoa, Arthropoda, Arachnida, Pseudoscorpiones, Chernetidae.
UUGGUGGCUCAGUGGUAGAAUGCUCGCCUGCCACGCGGGCGGCCCGGGUUCUACCACUAAGCCACCGAUGCUUUUAAA